Mesocricetus auratus (golden hamster) is the source of this 706-nucleotide long non-coding RNA. RefSeq lists it as uncharacterized. The record is from RefSeq and is a predicted model, not a curated record. Lineage: Eukaryota; Metazoa; Chordata; Mammalia; Rodentia; Cricetidae. The transcript has 3 exons.
AGAGUUUGAGUAGAAGGAGAACAACUCCAGGCUCAAGAGAAUAAGGAGAGAAGAGGGAGAUACCCGGGCAUGAAGCCAGGCAGCUGUCAUCCAGCCAGACACAGAGACAGCAAAAAAGUAAGAAAAGUCCUGAAGACCCAUGGUUCACCUUUGAUUUGUCAUCAAAGAAGAAACGGGCAUUCGUCUUAAAUGUCAGCCUCUCCACUCAGAAGCUCACCCUCCGUGCUUCUCUCUAGGCAUCUGUAUCUGAGGAGGCUGUGGUGUCCAUUGCUGUCCUGAUCUCAGCAAGCAAGCCACGCUCAUAGUCUUGUGGAUGGUGCAAUGUCUGCUGUGACAGAGGGGUCCAUGACACUCAGCUCACAUCCAAGGGAAAAGACAGCCUUUUGCCUCUGAGGUUCCAGAUCUCAGAGAAGACCUAUUUAGUGGCCCGGGAGUCAAUGAGUUAUACCAGAGGCAUUUCACAGUUGCUAAAGAAACAUGUUCCUUUGGUUUUUUUUUUUUUGAGACAGGGUUUCUCUGUGUAGCUUUGUAGACUAGUCUAACAUGGUCCUUUCUAUACAGCGUCCUUUUAUUGUCAUCUUUCUAUAUAGAUGGCCAAGGGAUUUGUGUCAAUGCUGUAAGUGGGCUGUAUGAGCACCCUGGACAGAUGUGUGUGUCUUCCCAUGAUGCCACAGUGAUAAAUAUGAAUAGUGAUAAAUUCCCAAGA